UGACCUCGGAUCAGGUAGGAAUACCCGCUG
This 30-nucleotide ribosomal RNA is filed under the name Colletotrichum coccodes. RNAcentral's name for it is "partial 28S ribosomal RNA". Lineage: Eukaryota; Fungi; Ascomycota; Sordariomycetes; Glomerellales; Glomerellaceae. The record is from RNAcentral. RNAcentral also lists the same sequence under 1 other name.